UACGAGGGGGGCAAAUGUUGUUCGGAAUUACUGGGCGUAAAGCGUGUGUAGGCGGCUAGGUAAGUCGGAUGUGAAAGCCCCAGGCUCAACCUGGGAAGUGCACUCGAUACUGCUUAGCUCGAGUACUGGAGAGGUUGGUGGAAUUCUCGGUGUAGAGGUGAAAUUCGUAGAUAUCGAGAGGAACACCGGUGGCGAAGGCGGCCAACUGGACAGAUACUGACGCUGAGACACGAAAGCGUGGGGAGCAAACAGG
RNAcentral lists this ribosomal RNA (253 nucleotides) under uncultured bacterium. RNAcentral's name for it is "partial 16S ribosomal RNA". It matches the Rfam family "Bacterial small subunit ribosomal RNA", at positions 524 to 776 of the family's 1533-position model. The record is from RNAcentral.